Molecule: non-coding RNA, 24 nt
Filed under: Arabidopsis thaliana (thale cress)
Lineage: Eukaryota; Viridiplantae; Streptophyta; Magnoliopsida; Brassicales; Brassicaceae
Source: RNAcentral
AGGUAGCGCUGGAUCCGAUAGUGU